AAGUCGUAACAAGGUUUCCGUAGGUGAACCUGCGGAAGGAUCAUUACCGAGACGAGAUCGGGGGGGGGGAUUCCCCUCCCCGCUGAUCGUAUCACCACCCUCCUUGACACGCACCGACGUCCUUCCUCGGCGGGGUCCACCCGCCGGCGGAACGUUAGCAAACCCUUUCGUGCAUACCAGCAGUAUACCGUUCCGAUGAGAAAUUCAAUCGUUACAAUCUUCAACAAUGGAUCUCUUGGCUCUG
This 244-nucleotide unclassified non-coding RNA is filed under the name air metagenome. RNAcentral's name for it is "partial contains small subunit ribosomal RNA, internal transcribed spacer 1, and 5.8S ribosomal RNA". The stretch from base 1 to 46 matches the Rfam family "Eukaryotic small subunit ribosomal RNA", at positions 1786 to 1831 of the family's 1831-position model. The record is from RNAcentral.